UGGGGAAUAUUGGACAAUGGACGAAAGCCUGAUCCAGCCAUGCCGCGUGUGUGAAGAAGGUCUUCGGAUUGUAAAGCACUUUAAGUUGGGAGGAAGGGCAUUAACCUAAUACGUUAGUGUUUUGACGUUACCGACAGAAUAAGCACCGGCUAACUCUGUGCCAGCAGCCGCGGUAAUACAGAGGGUGCAAGCGUUAAUCGGAAUUACUGGGCGUAAAGCGCGCGUAGGUGGUUUGUUAAGUUGGAUGUGAAAUCCCCGGGCUCAACCUGGGAACUGCAUUCAAAACUGACUGACUAGAGUAUGGUAGAGGGUGGUGGAAUUUCCUGUGUAGCGGUGAAAUGCGUAGAUAUAGGAAGGAACACCAGUGGCGAAGGCGACCACCUGGACUAAUACUGACACUGAGGUGCGAAAGCGUGGGGAGCAAACA
RNAcentral lists this ribosomal RNA (427 nucleotides) under uncultured bacterium. Its description in RNAcentral is "partial 16S ribosomal RNA". It matches the Rfam family "Bacterial small subunit ribosomal RNA", at positions 355 to 774 of the family's 1533-position model. The record is from RNAcentral.